UGUUAGUUAUUACCUUUUUUUAUAGUGAAUAGAUAGUGAAAACAAGUUGUGGAAUGAGCUAAAACUACUAUUCCCAUAAUGCCUUAUUGAGUGGAACCACGAUCACGGGGUUGUGGUUGCAAAUUGCAGUUGGGCAUUGGAAAGAGGGGAAUGUCUUUCAGAUAAUGUGCCCACCACCUGGAGGCGUCACAUAAUAAACAGAAACUUGCAUAUAUGCCAAUCUCCUAAUUGGCUGAUUCUCCCGAUCAAUGGGAGACUUGAGGCUCUAAGUAUACUGUGAGAUCGGGGUGCUAAUGUAAAAGCAAUCUCAACAAAAUAGUGGGAAAAAGAUUUGAGUGAAAAAUGCCACGGACGUAAGUCCAUAAUGCCUUGCGGCUAAUGGGGCACGUGAUUGCAUCAUAAGACACGACUUGUGUUACCAUAGUAACAAAAAAGGUUUAAAACCACGGUAAAUGUGGGUUUCUAAC
Pelobates cultripes (western spadefoot toad) is the source of this 467-nucleotide non-coding RNA. Lineage: Eukaryota; Metazoa; Chordata; Amphibia; Anura; Pelobatidae. The record is from the annotation of a GenBank genome assembly.